Molecule: ribosomal RNA, 253 nt
Filed under: uncultured bacterium
Lineage: Bacteria
Description: partial 16S ribosomal RNA
Rfam family: Bacterial small subunit ribosomal RNA
Source: RNAcentral
AACGUAGGUGGCGAGCGUUAUCCGGAAUUACUGGGCGUAAAGCGCGCGUAGGUGGCCCGGUAAGUCCGCUCUGAAAGUCAAAGGCUCAACCUUUGAAAGCGGGUGGAUACUGUCGGGCUAGAGUCCGGAAGAGGCGAGUGGAAUUCCUGGUGUAGCGGUGGAAUGCGCAGAUAUCAGGAGGAACACCAACGGCGAAGGCAGCUCGCUGGGACGGUACUGACACUAAGGCGCGAAAGCGUGGGGAGCGAACAGG